UUGAACGCUGGCGGCAUGCCUUACACAUGCAAGUCGAACGGCAUCGCGGGAAAGCUUGCUUUCCUGGCGGCGAGUGGCGAACGGGUGAGUAACACAUCGGAACGUACCGGCUAGUGGGGGAUAACCCGUCGAAAGACGGGCUAAUACCGCAUACGCUCUUCGGAGGAAAGCAGGGGACCUUUGGGCCUUGCGCUAGCCGAGCGGCCGAUGUCCGAUUAGCUAGUUGGUGGGGUAAAGGCCUACCAAGGCGACGAUCGGUAGCGGGCCUGAGAGGACGAUCCGCCACACUGGGACUGAGACACGGCCCAGACUCCUACGGGAGGCAGCAGUGGGGAAUCUUGGACAAUGGGGGCAACCCUGAUCCAGCAAUGCCGCGUGGGUGAAGAAGGCCUUCGGGUUGUAAAGCCCUUUCGGCAGGGAAGAAAUCGGCGGGGCGAAUAACCCUGCUGGAUGACGGUACCUGCAGAAGAAGCACCGGCUAACUACGUG
This 489-nucleotide ribosomal RNA is filed under the name uncultured bacterium. Its description in RNAcentral is "partial 16S ribosomal RNA". It matches the Rfam family "Bacterial small subunit ribosomal RNA", at positions 29 to 507 of the family's 1533-position model. The record is from RNAcentral.